GUCUACGGCCAUGCUACCAUGAACAAGCCAAUCCUGUCUGAUCUCAGAAGCUAAGCAGAGUUGGGCCUGGUUAGUACUUGGAUGGGAGACCACCUAGGAAGACCGGGUGCUGUAGGUG
Molecule: ribosomal RNA, 118 nt
Filed under: Pteropus alecto (black flying fox)
Lineage: Eukaryota; Metazoa; Chordata; Mammalia; Chiroptera; Pteropodidae
Also listed under: 1 other name
Source: RNAcentral